CAGCUUGCCGUUCCACAAGUUCUACUCAAUGCCAUCAAAAAACCGUUAACUGCUUAAAUUAAUAUCUUUGACAGCCCUUCAAGCAUGCCAAAAAUUGGUCAAUUUCAG
Bactrocera latifrons is the source of this 108-nucleotide long non-coding RNA. RefSeq lists it as uncharacterized. Lineage: Eukaryota; Metazoa; Arthropoda; Insecta; Diptera; Tephritidae. The transcript has 3 exons. The record is from RefSeq and is a predicted model, not a curated record.